Molecule: non-coding RNA, 65 nt
Filed under: Agromyces sp.
Lineage: Bacteria; Bacillati; Actinomycetota; Actinomycetes; Micrococcales; Microbacteriaceae
Source: RNAcentral
AAUGAUCGAAACGCAGCGGCCCCGGACGAGGGAUCAGUACCCGGAACGCGACAAGACUGGCCACG